GAAAUGUUCACUCCAGCCUCAAUCCCCAGUGGUUCAUUUGAGCAACUGACUUGUUUUUAUCUUAUGAGCAUUGGGCAUUUAUGAAACUGAUUAUGUCUUCCUCUGCUAUGACCACUAGGAAUCUCAGAGUCCGCUGGAGACUGACCAGGGUAUUCAAUGACUAUACAGGAUUACGUAGUGCACAUUCUUUGUACAGCCCAUACUGCUGGCACCACCUUGUUCCUCACCUUUAUCUUCCCUUUAUUUAUGCACACAUUGCUUCCUUUGUUUUAAUUUUGAGUGAGUAAGUGAAAAGUUGCUCAGUCAUGCCCGACUCUUUGGGGUCCCACGUAGCCUGCCAGGCUCUUCUGUCCAUGGAAUUCUCCAGGCAGGAAUACUGGAGUGGGUAGCCUUUCACUUCUCCAGGGAUCUUACCAACCCAGGGUUCAAACCCAGGUCUCCCGCAUUGCAGGAGGCUUCUUUACCGUCUGAGUCACCAGGGAAGCCCCUUCCUGACUACAGUGUGUGUGUAUAUAUAUAACCCUGUGGCUAUCUCUUAACCUUUCUGGGAGCUGAAAGAGAGGUAUGAAUAAAUAAUGACCAGUGAUUUCUAUUUUAACAGAAACCUGGGAAGGGAAACAGUCUCAACAAUGAAUAGGCCACUCAGCACAACCAACUACAGAUGACUGGCCAUUUCAUUUACAAAGAUGUCGUCUGCUGCUGAGAAUGGAGACACAGCACCUGGGAAGCAAAACGAAGAGAAAACCUAUAAAAAGGUGUGUUUCUCGACCUCCCAAACAGCCCCCAGGUGCUGGUAUAUAUUCCUCCAAAAGAAUCCCCUGUCCCUAUAAGCUGAUUAUGGAGUACAUCUCUUAUUUGUUACUGCAAAGAAGCAUUUUGAAAAUUGUGAAUAUGGACAUAAAUUCUUCUGAAGUACUACUUCAAAUUGGAAAAGCUAUCUACUGCUGCUGCUAAGUCACUUCAGUCGUGUUCGACUCUGUGCGACCCCAUAGAUGGCAGCCCACCAGGCUCCCCCUUCCCUGGGAUUCUCCAGGCAACAACACUGCAGUGGGUUGCCAUUUCCUUCUCCAGUGCAUGAAAGUGAAGUUGCUCAGUCGUGUCUGACUCGUAGCGACCCAUGGACUGCAGCCCACCAGGCUCCUCCAUCCAUGGGAUUUUCCAGGCAAGAGUACUGGAGUGGGGUGCCAUUGCCUUCUCCGGGAAAAGCUAUCUAGAGAAGUGCAAAAUUUUGUUAUAGUAAAAAGGAACAAAGAAGAACUAUUUGGUAGAUGAC
This 1273-nucleotide long non-coding RNA is filed under the name Bos indicus x Bos taurus (hybrid cattle). Its description in RNAcentral is "lncRNA (ENSBIXG00000010417.1)". Lineage: Eukaryota; Metazoa; Chordata; Mammalia; Artiodactyla; Bovidae. The record is from RNAcentral.